RNAcentral lists this ribosomal RNA (2127 nucleotides) under wastewater metagenome. RNAcentral describes it as "bacterial LSU rRNA". It matches the Rfam family "Bacterial large subunit ribosomal RNA", at positions 808 to 2925 of the family's 2925-position model. The record is from RNAcentral.
GCUGUGGAUAGGGGUGAAAGGCUAAACAAACUUGGAAAUAGCUGGUUCUCUCCGAAAACUAUUUAGGUAGUGCCUCAGGUAUUACUGACGGGGGUAGAGCACUGUUAUGGCUAGGGGGUCAUCGCGACUUACCAACCCAUGGCAAACUCCGAAUACCGUCAAGUACGAGCCUGGGAGACAGACAUCGGGUGCUAACGUCCGGUGUCAAGAGGGAAACAACCCAGACCGCCAGCUAAGGUCCCAAAUGACAUGCUAAGUGGUAAACGAAGUGGGAAGGCCUAGACAGCCAGGAUGUUGGCUUAGAAGCAGCCAUCAUUUAAAGAAAGCGUAAUAGCUCACUGGUCGAGUCGUCCUGCGCGGAAGAUGUAACGGGGCUCAAGCAUGUAACCGAAGCUGCGGAUAUGUACUCUGUACAUAUGGUAGGAGAGCGUUCUGUAGGCCUGCGAAGGUGGCUUGUAAAGGCUGCUGGAGGUAUCAGAAGUGCGAAUGCUGACAUGAGUAGCGAUAAUGCGGGUGAAAGUCCCGCACGCCGAAAACCCAAGGUUUCCUACGCAACGUUCAUCGGCGUAGGGUGAGUCGGCCCCUAAGGCGAGGCAGAAAUGCGUAGUCGAUGGGAAACAGGUUAAAAUUCCUGUACCGAUUGUGAGUGCGAUGGGGGGACGGAGAAGGGUAGCUCAGCCAACUGUUGGAAUAGUUGGUUCAAGCGUGUAGGCAGGUCCAUCAGGCAAAUCCGGUGGGCCAAUGCUGAGGCGUGAUAACGAGGUGCUACGGCACUGAAGUGAGUAAUCCCAUGCUUCCAGGAAAAGCCUCUAAGCUUCAGCUCACAAUUGACCGUACCGCAAACCGACACAGGUGGGUAGGAUGAGAAUUCUAAGGCGCUUGAGAGAACUCGGGUUAAGGAACUCGGCAAAUUGACACCGUAACUUCGGGAGAAGGUGUGCCCCGGUAGGGUGAAGGACCUCGCGUCCGGAGCUCGAUGGGGUUGCAGUGAAAAGGUGGCUGCGACUGUUUAAUAAAAACACAGCACUGUGCCAACACGAAAGUGGACGUAUACGGUGUGACGCCUGCCCGGUGCUGGAAGAUUAAAUGAUGGGGUGCAAGCUCUUGACUGAAGUCCCAGUAAACGGCGGCCGUAACUAUAACGGUCCUAAGGUAGCGAAAUUCCUUGUCGGGUAAGUUCCGACCCGCACGAAUGGCGUAACGAUGGCCACACUGUCUCAACCCGAGACUCAGCGAAGUUGAAAUGUUUGUGAAGAUGCAAUCUCCCCGCUGCUAGACGGAAAGACCCCGUGAACCUUUACUGUAGCUUUGCAUUGGACUUUGAACAGACUUGUGUAGGAUAGGUGGGAGGCUUUGAAGCAGAGACGCCAGUUUCUGUGGAGCCGCCCUUGAAAUACCACCCUGGUGUGUUUGAGGUUCUAACCUUGGUCCGUCAUCCGGAUCGGGGACCGUGCAUGGUAGGCAGUUUGACUGGGGCGGUCUCCUCCCAAAGUGUAACGGAGGAGUUCGAAGGUUACCUAGGUACGGUCGGACAUCGUACUGAUAGUGCAAUGGCAAAAGGUAGCUUAACUGCGAGACCCACAAGUCGAGCAGGUGCGAAAGCAGGACAUAGUGAUCCGGUGGUUCUGAAUGGAAGGGCCAUCGCUCAACGGAUAAAAGGUACUCCGGGGAUAACAGGCUGAUUCCGCCCAAGAGUUCAUAUCGACGGCGGAGUUUGGCACCUCGAUGUCGGCUCAUCACAUCCUGGGGCUGUAGCCGGUCCCAAGGGUAUGGCUGUUCGCCAUUUAAAGUGGUACGUGAGCUGGGUUUAAAACGUCGUGAGACAGUUUGGUCCCUAUCUGCAGUGGGCGUUGGAAGUUUGAAGGGGGCUGCUCCUAGUACGAGAGGACCGGAGUGGACGAACCUCUGGUGUACCGGUUAUGACGCCAGUCGUAUCGCCGGGUAGCUAAGUUCGGAAGAGAUAAGCGCUGAAAGCAUCUAAGCGCGAAACUCGCCUUAAGAUGAGACUUCCCUGGCACCUAGAGUGCCCUGAAGGGUCGUUCGAGACCAGGACGUUGAUAGGUUGGGUGUGGAAGCGCAGUAAUGCGUUAAGCUAACCAAUACUAAUUGCCCGUGCGGCUUGAUCCU